RNAcentral lists this ribosomal RNA (307 nucleotides) under uncultured bacterium. RNAcentral's name for it is "bacterial SSU rRNA". It matches the Rfam family "Bacterial small subunit ribosomal RNA", at positions 28 to 334 of the family's 1533-position model. The record is from RNAcentral.
GACGAACGCUGGCGGCGUGCUUAACACAUGCAAGUCGAGCGGAAUAUGAGAGCUUGCUCUUAUAUUUAGCGGCGGACGGGUGAGUAACGCGUGAGCAACCUGCCUUCGACUACGGGAUAACACUUAGAAAUAGGUGCUAAUACCGUAUAAGACCACACUCGGGCAUCCGAGAGGGGUAAAAGAUUUAUCGGUCGAAGAUGGGCUCGCGUCCCAUUAGCUAGUUGGUGAGGUAACGGCCCACCAAGGCUACGAUGGGUAGCCGACCUGAGAGGGUGAUCGGCCACAUUGGAACUGAGAUACGGUCCAA